This is a non-coding RNA of Mesocestoides corti, 73 nucleotides long. NCBI's taxonomy places the organism in Eukaryota, Metazoa, Platyhelminthes, Cestoda, Cyclophyllidea, Mesocestoididae. The record is from Rfam.
GGCUCGGUGGUGUAGUGGUUAUCACGUCUGCUUUACACGCAGAAGGUCCCCGGUUCGAACCCGGGUCGAGUCA